Long non-coding RNA from Anneissia japonica, 275 nucleotides. RefSeq lists it as uncharacterized. The record is from RefSeq and is a predicted model, not a curated record. NCBI's taxonomy places the organism in Eukaryota, Metazoa, Echinodermata, Crinoidea, Comatulida, Comatulidae. The transcript is spliced from 3 exons.
UUUUCAAUUUUUAUAUUUCUUCAUUAGGUUGUAUAGCUGAAGGAAUAAUGAGCUGAUGAUACUGCAAAAGUACUUAGGAAUGUUAACCAAAAGCAUCCAGAAAUUUGGUGGUCUGAAUGAGGUCUUCAGUAACAUGGAAUUCCAUCCAGAUCAAGACUGCGUAUCUUAAAGGAGGUCUUCAGAAGUAUCAUGGAAUUGCAAGAUUGUAGUUCUCUAACUUUUUUAACAUUGCAGGUUGUGAAGCAGAAGUAGUAAUGAAGACGCAUUACAAAAGG